GACGAAGGGGGCUAGCGUUGUUCGGAAUUACUGGGCGUAAAGCGUGUGUAGGCGGUUUUCCUAGUCAGGUGUGAAAGCCUUGAGCUCAACUCAAGAACUGCCCUUGAUACUGGGCGACUAGAGGACCGGAGAGGAUAGUGGAAUUCCCAGUGUAGUGGUGAAAUACGUAGAGAUUGGGAGGAACACCAGUGGCGAAGGCGGCUAUCUGGACGGUUACUGACGCUAAGACUCGAAAGCGUGGGGAGCAAACAGG
RNAcentral lists this ribosomal RNA (253 nucleotides) under uncultured bacterium. RNAcentral's name for it is "partial 16S ribosomal RNA". It matches the Rfam family "Bacterial small subunit ribosomal RNA", at positions 524 to 776 of the family's 1533-position model. The record is from RNAcentral.